RNAcentral lists this long non-coding RNA (518 nucleotides) under Homo sapiens (human). RNAcentral describes it as "LNC_000687". Lineage: Eukaryota; Metazoa; Chordata; Mammalia; Primates; Hominidae. The record is from RNAcentral.
AUUCCUGUGAUUGCAUUAAGGAACAAGCUGGGCUGUGCUUUUUCUCUCUCCAUGUAGUUUCAGGACUUCUCCCUCUUCACAUAGUUUCUACAUGGCAUUUCCAGCAGAAUUCCUGGAUUCUUCCUGAGUUGCUCAGGGAUCCUAAGAGCUCAAGAGUAGAAACUUCCAGCCCUUCAUGAAAUUUCAGUGCAAACUAUCACUUCUGCCAUAUUCUAUUAAGGAAGAAGAGUGACAGGACCACCCUAGAUUCACAGGAAGGGGACUACACAACGUUAUGAACACCAAGAGGCGGUUCACGGGGAGAUGCCAGUAGAGCCAGUGGUGUUCUGACAAAUUGACAGUUUUCCACUUUCCUAAGAAGAAGAAAUGGCCAAAUCCCAGGUAAGUCCUUCCUCCCUCCAUGCUGAAAUGCCAUGUAAUUUGUCAGAGGUGGGGUUAGUGGGGUGCAAUUUGAAAGAAGACAUACUGUGAUAUGUCAAGAUUUAUAGCAGAAGAACAACUGACUGGUUACUAGAGAC